Molecule: ribosomal RNA, 808 nt
Filed under: Bacteriovorax sp. 16SFG1
Lineage: Bacteria; Pseudomonadati; Bdellovibrionota; Bacteriovoracia; Bacteriovoracales; Bacteriovoracaceae
Description: bacterial SSU rRNA
Rfam family: Bacterial small subunit ribosomal RNA
Source: RNAcentral
ACCAUUUGGCGGGGGAUAACCAGAACCCCUUUAGGCUAAUACCGCAUACGUACUGCAAUUUUGAAAGUAGCAGUAGAAAGAGUGCCUCUCCUUGGAAGCACUUACCAAAUGAUGAGCCUGCGUAGCAUUAGUUUGAUGGUGGGGUAAUGGCUUACCAUGACUACGAUGCUUAGCUGGUCUGAGAGGAUGAUCAGUCACACUGGAACUGAGACACGGUCCAGACUCCUACGGGAGGCAGCAGUGGGGAAUAUUGCGCAAUGGGGGAAACCCUGACGCAGCAAUGCCGAGUGAGUGAGGAAGGCCUUCGGGUUGUAAAGCUCUGUCAGAAGGGAAUAAUGGUAUAGGGUCCAAUAGGCCUUAUAUUUGAAGGUACCUUCAAAGGAAGCACCGGCUAACUUCGUGCCAGCAGCCGCGGUAAUACGAAGGGUGCAAGCGUUGUUCGGAUUUAUUGGGCGUAAAGCGCGCGCAGGCGGAUUGUUAAGUCAGAUGUGAAAUCUCGGGGCUCAACCCCGAAACUGCGUCUGAAACUGAUAAUCUAGAAUCUCGGAGAGGGAAGGGGAAUUUCGCAUGUAGGGGUAAAAUCCGUAGAGAUGCGAAGGAACACCAGAGGCGAAGGCGCCUUCCUGGACGAGUAUUGACGCUGAGGCGCGAAAGCGUGGGUAGCAAACAGGAUUAGAUACCCUGGUAGUCCACGCCGUAAACGAUGUGCACUAGAUAUUGGAGGUUUGACCCCUUCAGUGUCGUAGCUAACGCAUUAAGUGCACCGCCUGGGGAGUACGGGUCGCAGACUAAAACUCAAAGGAAUUGA